Molecule: ribosomal RNA, 513 nt
Filed under: uncultured bacterium
Lineage: Bacteria
Description: bacterial SSU rRNA
Rfam family: Bacterial small subunit ribosomal RNA
Source: RNAcentral
CUGAUGCAGCACGCCGCGUGCGGGAUGACGGCCUUCGGGUUGUAAACCGCUUUCGCCUGUGACGAAGCGUGAGUGACGGUAAUGGGUAAAGAAGCACCGGCUAACUACGUGCCAGCAGCCGCGGUGAUACGUAGGGUGCGAGCGUUGUCCGGAUUUAUUGGGCGUAAAGGGCUCGUAGGUGGUUGAUCGCGUCGGAAGUGUAAUCUUGGGGCUUAACCCUGAGCGUGCUUUCGAUACGGGUUGACUUGAGGAAGGUAGGGGAGAAUGGAAUUCCUGGUGGAGCGGUGGAAUGCGCAGAUAUCAGGAGGAACACCAGUGGCGAAGGCGGUUCUCUGGGCCUUUCCUGACGCUGAGGAGCGAAAGCGUGGGGAGCGAACAGGCUUAGAUACCCUGGUAGUCCACGCUGCAAACGGUGGGUACUAGGUGUGGGGUCCAUUCCACGGGUUCCGUGCCGUAGCUAACGCUUUAAGUACCCCGCCUGGGGAGUACGGCCGCAAGGCUAAAACUCAAAGG